GAACAGGAUUAGAUACCCUGGUAGUCCAUGCCGUAAACGUUGGGCGCUAGGUGUGGGGCUCAUUCCACGAGUUCCGUGCCGCAGCUAACGCAUUAAGCGCCCCGCCUGGGGAGUACGGCCGCAAGGCUAAAACUCAAAGGAAUUGACGGGGGCCCGCACAAGCGGCGGAGCAUGCGGAUUAAUUCGAUGCAACGCGAAGAACCUUACCAAGGCUUGACAUACACCGGAAUCAUGCAGAGAUGUGUGCGUCUUCGGACUGGUGUACAGGUGGUGCAUGGUUGUCGUCAGCUCGUGUCGUGAGAUGUUGGGUUAAGUCCCGCAACGAGCGCAACCCUCGUUCCAUGUUGCCAGCACGUCAUGGUGGGGACUCAUGGGAGACUGCCGGGGUCAACUCGGAGGAAGGUGGGGAUGACGUCAAAUCAUCAUGCCCCUUAUGUCUUGGGCUUCACGCAUGCUACAAUGGCCGGUACAGAGGGUUGCGAAACUGUGAGGUGGAGCUAAUCCCAAAAAACCGGUCUCAGUUCGGAUUGGGGUCUGCAACUCGACCCCAUGAAGUCGGAGUCGCUAGUAAUCGCAGAUCAGCAACG
Molecule: ribosomal RNA, 587 nt
Filed under: Dermacoccus barathri
Lineage: Bacteria; Bacillati; Actinomycetota; Actinomycetes; Micrococcales; Dermacoccaceae
Description: bacterial SSU rRNA
Rfam family: Bacterial small subunit ribosomal RNA
Source: RNAcentral